This 256-nucleotide ribosomal RNA is filed under the name uncultured bacterium. RNAcentral's name for it is "partial 16S ribosomal RNA". It matches the Rfam family "Bacterial small subunit ribosomal RNA", at positions 98 to 353 of the family's 1533-position model. The record is from RNAcentral.
GCGGACGGGUGGAGUAAUGUCUGGGAAACUGCCUGAUGGAGGGGGAGUAACUACUGGAAACGGUAGCUAAUACCGCAUAACGUCGCAAGACCAAAGAGGGGGACCUUCGGGCCUCUUGCCAUCGGAUGUGCCCAGAUGGGAUUAGCUAGUAGGUGGGGUAACGGCUCACCUAGGCGACGAUCCCUAGCUGGUCUGAGAGGAUGACCAGCCACACUGGAACUGAGACACGGUCCAGACUCCUACGGGAGGCAGCAUG